AUUGCCUCUUGGUCUUUGGCUAAGAUCUACUGUAGUAUCAGUUUAAUAUCAGAUAUGUCAUCUAUUUGAAAACAAUAUAUUAAAUAGGUUUCUGGGGCUGGAAGAAUGAAUAAGAGCUCUCUCCAUCCAUUCCUUGUCUUUACCUGGUAUUGUAGUAUUUCCAGGUAUGAUACACCAGAA
Molecule: small nuclear RNA, 180 nt
Filed under: Nannospalax galili (Upper Galilee mountains blind mole rat)
Lineage: Eukaryota; Metazoa; Chordata; Mammalia; Rodentia; Spalacidae
Description: U2 spliceosomal RNA (ENSNGAG00000003867.1)
Rfam family: U2 spliceosomal RNA
About the family: U2 is a small nuclear RNA (snRNA) component of the spliceosome (involved in pre-mRNA splicing).
Source: Rfam by way of RNAcentral